UUCGGAAUAACUUCGGGGAAACUGAAGCUAAAUACCGGAUGAUGACGUAAGUCCAAAGAUUUAUCACCCAAGGAUGAGCCCGCGUAGGAUUAGCUAGUUGGUGAGGUAAAGGCUCACCAAGGCGACGANCCUUAGCUGGUCUGAGAGGAUGAUCAGCCACACUGGGACUGAGACACGGCCCAGACUCCUACGGGAGGCAGCAGUGGGGAAUAUUGGACAAUGGGCGAAAGCCUGAUCCAGCAAUGCCGCGUGAGUGAUGAAGGCCUUAGGGUUGUAAAGCUCUUUUACCCGGGAUGAUAAUGACAGUACCGGGAGAAUAAGCUCCGGCUAACUCCGUG
This 338-nucleotide ribosomal RNA is filed under the name uncultured bacterium. Its description in RNAcentral is "bacterial SSU rRNA". It matches the Rfam family "Bacterial small subunit ribosomal RNA", at positions 137 to 507 of the family's 1533-position model. The record is from RNAcentral.